CUCUCUCUCUCUCUCGCCCUGCCUCAUUGUCUCUGUGUGCGGCAACAGUGCUGCUAGAAGCCAGUCCUUUUCACUGCUCGCCAGACAGAGGAAGGCAGAGGUUUGUGGAGAUCCAGAGAUAGGUAGACUAUGCCUCAGUUCACCUUUGCCUGCUUCUGCGGCCUUCAUGGCCUCUGCGGAAGGAAAAAGAAGAAAAAGGAGCAAGAGAGACAACCACAACAGGACUAUGAAACUGAGGUUUGAAAUGAUGUCUGGACUGGGAAGAUUCUCAAGGUUUCAGUAGCUUACAAAGGG
RNAcentral lists this long non-coding RNA (294 nucleotides) under Sinocyclocheilus grahami. RNAcentral's name for it is "lncRNA (ENSSGRG00000014586.1)". The record is from RNAcentral. Lineage: Eukaryota; Metazoa; Chordata; Actinopteri; Cypriniformes; Cyprinidae.